RNAcentral lists this long non-coding RNA (843 nucleotides) under Felis catus (domestic cat). Its description in RNAcentral is "lncRNA (ENSFCAG00000053002.1)". The record is from RNAcentral. Lineage: Eukaryota; Metazoa; Chordata; Mammalia; Carnivora; Felidae.
UAAUGCAAGAAAUUACGUAUCCUAUAGACCUUAAUAGGUAUUAAAAAUAUGAGACUAUUAAGCCAACAAAAUUGGAAAAUUAGAUGAAAUGGGAAAAUUCCCUUUAAGACGUAAGUUAUCCAAGUCACUGAAGAAGAGAUAGCCUAAUUAAUUCUAUAUCUAUCAAUUAAUGAUAAGUGAAACAAAAUUAAUGAGAAGAUAACACAAUAAUGAAACAACCUGAUAAUGGAUAUUUACAAAAAUUGUAUGGUGAACAUCUUAUUACAAUGUUAAAUAUUUAAUUCAUUGAUGCUAAAAAUGGGAACAAAAUUGGUUUAUUAUCAUCUUUUCUGUUCAACAUUAUACUAGGAACUAAAAAUAUUAAGGCAAAAAUAUCAGAAAAGAAGAAAUACAACUGUCAAUGCCAGAAUAUACAUUCCUGGACAGGUUUAAAUUCACUGAAUGGCACUGGGCUAGAAAGCAGAAGAGAUCAUCAUUCUAUCAUAAUGAAUGUAGAGUGCUAUUGUUGUAAUUUCUGGAAUUGCAUUAAAAUAUGCAGGGGAAUGAGCUUUCUCAAUAAAGAAUAAUGGAUUCAAAGGAUAGCUGGAGUGACACAGAGCUGGCUAUGCUCCCUGGGUCUGCCUGCAUCUGCUCUUCGGAACCACUCACACUGCUUGAUGUGAUUUGACCACCGAAGUUUGGCUGCUCAUUCAUAAGACCUCAGGAGUUACACAUUUUUGUAGACUAUUUCUUAUUCCUUUGGGGAGUGUUGUGAGGGCAAGGAAUGUUUUACAAGUGAAGGCAGCUAAAUUUAAGUAUAAAAAAGCCUCUUUCUGCCUAAGUAAGAAUUAAACAGGACAUAAA